GGUUUUAGGUUGGGGCGACCAAGGAGUACAACAAAACCUCCACAAUGAACGGGACUUCUCCCUCAUCUAAGAGCUACACCUCUAAGAAUUAAAAUAUUAACAUAAAAUGAUCCAUUUUUUGAUCAAUGAACCAAGUUACCCUGGGGAUAACAGCGCAAUCCAUUUCAAGAGCCCCUAUCGACAAAUGGGUUUACGACCUCGAUGUUGGAUCAGGGUAUCCUAGUGGUGCAGCAGCUACUAAAGGUUCGUUUGUUCAACGAUU
Molecule: ribosomal RNA, 262 nt
Filed under: Mantidactylus riparius
Lineage: Eukaryota; Metazoa; Chordata; Amphibia; Anura; Mantellidae
Description: partial large subunit ribosomal RNA
Rfam family: Bacterial large subunit ribosomal RNA
Source: RNAcentral